AGAGUUUGAGUCCUGGCUCAGGGAAUGAACGGCUGGACGGCAGGCUUAAUACAUGCAAGUUGAACGGUAACAUGUUGUAGCAAUACGAUGAUGACGAGUGGCGCACGGGUGCGUAACACGUGUGUAACCUACCGUAUACAGGAACAUAACGUUGAGAAAUCGGCGCUAACAUUCCAUAAUAUUAUUUGUAGGCAUCUAUGAAUAUUAAAACUCCGGUGGUAUAAGAUGGGCACGCGUUCCAUUAGCUAGUUGGUAAGGUAACGGCUUACCAAGGCAACGAUGGAUAGGGGUUCUGAGAGGAUAAUCCCCCACACUGGAACUGAGACACGGUCCAGACUCCUACGGGAGGCAGCAGUAAGGAAUAUUGGGCAAUGGAGGCAACUCUGACCCAGCCAUGCCGCGUGCAGGAAGACGGCCCUAUGGGUUGUAAACUGCUUUUAAUAGGGAUUAAAGUCGACUACGUGUAGUUGUUUGCAAGUACCUAUAGAAUAAGCAUCGGCUAACUCCGUGCCAGCAGCAGC
RNAcentral lists this ribosomal RNA (521 nucleotides) under uncultured bacterium. RNAcentral describes it as "bacterial SSU rRNA". It matches the Rfam family "Bacterial small subunit ribosomal RNA", at positions 8 to 518 of the family's 1533-position model. The record is from RNAcentral.